Molecule: long non-coding RNA, 398 nt
Organism: Melospiza melodia melodia
Lineage: Eukaryota; Metazoa; Chordata; Aves; Passeriformes; Passerellidae
Exons: 3
Source: RefSeq, a predicted model, not a curated record
CCGUGUAGGCCGGCGGGCACUGGCACCGCACGUUGUUGAUGCAGGUCCCGCCGUUCUGGCAGUGCAGGAGCUCGUUGUCACACACGUUCGCUGCAAGACACCGGGGGAAGGGGGACAGAACAGAGAGCAGCCCUUGGCAGUGAUGGCAAUGGAAACCUGACUGAUCAUAUCCCAGCUCCCUGAGAACUCUGUAUUCCUUGACAUUGACUCCUAUGGCAAGAGGGGAUUUGCAACACAUCUGUGCUGCUGCCUGCAUGUGCUAGUGGAGGGCCAGGAAAGGCUCUCAUUCCAGGAUGGGCUUGAUUAACUACAAAAAAGGACCUGUGGCAGGUGUGAUUUUUAUAAAGAUUUCAAGGAGAUGGAGAAGAACUAGAGACUGCAAAUCAGAACUUCCUCAG